This 1540-nucleotide ribosomal RNA is filed under the name Escherichia coli. RNAcentral's name for it is "partial 23S ribosomal RNA". It matches the Rfam family "Bacterial large subunit ribosomal RNA", at positions 1273 to 2798 of the family's 2925-position model. The record is from RNAcentral. Lineage: Bacteria; Pseudomonadati; Pseudomonadota; Gammaproteobacteria; Enterobacterales; Enterobacteriaceae.
CUGGAGGUAUCAGAAGUGCGAAUGCUGACAUAAGUAACGAUAAAGCGGGUGAAAAGCCCGCUCGCCGGAAGACCAAGGGUUCCUGUCCAACGUUAAUCGGGGCAGGGUGAGUCGACCCCUAAGGCGAGGCCGAAAGGCGUAGUCGAUGGGAAACAGGUUAAUAUUCCUGUACUUGGUGUUACUGCGAAGGGGGGACGGAGAAGGCUAUGUUGGCCGGGCGACGGUUGUCCCGGUUUAAGCGUGUAGGCUGGUUUUCCAGGCAAAUCCGGAAAAUCAAGGCUGAGGCGUGAUGACGAGGCACUACGGUGCUGAAGCAACAAAUGCCCUGCUUCCAGGAAAAGCCUCUAAGCAUCAGGUAACAUCAAAUCGUACCCCAAACCGACACAGGUGGUCAGGUAGAGAAUACCAAGGCGCUUGAGAGAACUCGGGUGAAGGAACUAGGCAAAAUGGUGCCGUAACUUCGGGAGAAGGCACGCUGAUAUGUAGGUGAAGUCCCUUGCGGAUGGAGCUGAAAUCAGUCGAAGAUACCAGCUGGCUGCAACUGUUUAUUAAAAACACAGCACUGUGCAAACACGAAAGUGGACGUAUACGGUGUGACGCCUGCCCGGUGCCGGAAGGUUAAUUGAUGGGGUCAGCGCAAGCGAAGCUCUUGAUCGAAGCCCCGGUAAACGGCGGCCGUAACUAUAACGGUCCUAAGGUAGCGAAAUUCCUUGUCGGGUAAGUUCCGACCUGCACGAAUGGCGUAAUGAUGGCCAGGCUGUCUCCACCCGAGACUCAGUGAAAUUGAACUCGCUGUGAAGAUGCAGUGUACCCGCGGCAAGACGGAAAGACCCCGUGAACCUUUACUAUAGCUUGACACUGAACAUUGAGCCUUGAUGUGUAGGAUAGGUGGGAGGCUUUGAAGUGUGGACGCCAGUCUGCAUGGAGCCGACCUUGAAAUACCACCCUUUAAUGUUUGAUGUUCUAACGUUGACCCCUAAUCGGGGUUGCGGACAGUGUCUGGUGGGUAGUUUGACUGGGGCGGUCUCCUCCUAAAGAGUAACGGAGGAGCACGAAGGUUGGCUAAUCCUGGUCGGACAUCAGGAGGUUAGUGCAAUGGCAUAAGCCAGCUUGACUGCGAGCGUGACGGCGCGAGCAGGUGCGAAAGCAGGUCAUAGUGAUCCGGUGGUUCUGAAUGGAAGGGCCAUCGCUCAACGGAUAAAAGGUACUCCGGGGAUAACAGGCUGAUACCGCCCAAGAGUUCAUAUCGACGGCGGUGUUUGGCACCUCGAUGUCGGCUCAUCACAUCCUGGGGCUGAAGUAGGUCCCAAGGGUAUGGCUGUUCGCCAUUUAAAGUGGUACGCGAGCUGGGUUUAGAACGUCGUGAGACAGUUCGGUCCCUAUCUGCCGUGGGCGCUGGAGAACUGAGGGGGGCUGCUCCUAGUACGAGAGGACCGGAGUGGACGCAUCACUGGUGUUCGGGUUGUCAUGCCAAUGGCACUGCCCGGUAGCUAAAUGCGGAAGAGAUAAGUGCUGAAAGCAUCUAAGCACGAAACUUGCC